GCUGCGCUACCGCCCAACUCCCAACCCAGACAAACUCUUAAGGUCCAUUUGUAGGAGAACAUAGAGUAGUCAAGCUUCCAAGACUCCAGACACAUCCAAACGAGGCACUGCAUGUGGCAGUCUGUCUUUCUUU
RNAcentral lists this small nuclear RNA (133 nucleotides) under Erinaceus europaeus (western European hedgehog). Its description in RNAcentral is "7SK RNA". It matches the Rfam family "7SK RNA", at positions 201 to 331 of the family's 331-position model. From Rfam's summary of the family: 7SK was discovered as an abundant small nuclear RNA in the mid-70s but a possible function has only recently been suggested. Two independent studies have found that 7SK RNA binds the CDK9/cyclin T complex (known as elongation factor P-TEFb). Lineage: Eukaryota; Metazoa; Chordata; Mammalia; Eulipotyphla; Erinaceidae. The record is from Rfam by way of RNAcentral.